RNAcentral lists this ribosomal RNA (522 nucleotides) under Triticum aestivum (bread wheat). RNAcentral's name for it is "partial small subunit ribosomal RNA". The record is from RNAcentral. Lineage: Eukaryota; Viridiplantae; Streptophyta; Magnoliopsida; Poales; Poaceae.
AUGACCGAAAUGACUGGCUCGGCGAAGUACCUGUACCCGCCGAGAGAGGGCCUGAGGCUUCCGUAUUCGACCGUCGGAAGGCUGCUGGUCGGUCCUCGAGCCAUCGGUGUUCAGAGUCAGAGGGGGGAAGGCUUCUUCAAAGACAACAGGAAAUCCCUAGCCCCAAACUACUCCCCCUACACCCCGAUUGAAGCAGACAUGUUUGCCCGCGCAAGGAAGGUGUGCCACAUUGCGCUCCCGUCACUGAAUCCCCAUGACUCCUUCCAUUCGCUUCUCAUUGUGAGUGUUCAGUUGCCUACCUAUCCCACUACCAUGUUCGGUGGGAACGACAGCGACGGUGUAAGCCCGGUCCUGUAUUUGAAGAUAUUCAAUAGCUUCGACAAGGAGAUUUCUCCUCGGCUCAAGGACAGCAUCAAGAGUGUGAUGAAUGAGGAAACGAAGAAGGUCAAGGGGUUCCCGGGGGACAACAACAUGCCCUACACAGAGAGGCUGAAAAUCCUGGCCGGCAGCUCAGCACCCUGA